Molecule: ribosomal RNA, 1350 nt
Filed under: Lactiplantibacillus plantarum
Lineage: Bacteria; Bacillati; Bacillota; Bacilli; Lactobacillales; Lactobacillaceae
Description: bacterial SSU rRNA
Rfam family: Bacterial small subunit ribosomal RNA
Source: RNAcentral
GUGGCGAACUGGUGAGUAACACGUGGGAAACCUGCCCAGAAGCGGGGGAUAACACCUGGAAACAGAUGCUAAUACCGCAUAACAACUUGGACCGCAUGGUCCGAGCUUGAAAGAUGGCUUCGGCUAUCACUUUUGGAUGGUCCCGCGGCGUAUUAGCUAGAUGGUGGGGUAACGGCUCACCAUGGCAAUGAUACGUAGCCGACCUGAGAGGGUAAUCGGCCACAUUGGGACUGAGACACGGCCCAAACUCCUACGGGAGGCAGCAGUAGGGAAUCUUCCACAAUGGACGAAAGUCUGAUGGAGCAACGCCGCGUGAGUGAAGAAGGGUUUCGGCUCGUAAAACUCUGUUGUUAAAGAAGAACAUAUCUGAGAGUAACUGUUCAGGUAUUGACGGUAUUUAACCAGAAAGCCACGGCUAACUACGUGCCAGCAGCCGCGGUAAUACGUAGGUGGCAAGCGUUGUCCGGAUUUAUUGGGCGUAAAGCGAGCGCAGGCGGUUUUUUAAGUCUGAUGUGAAAGCCUUCGGCUCAACCGAAGAAGUGCAUCGGAAACUGGGAAACUUGAGUGCAGAAGAGGACAGUGGAACUCCAUGUGUAGCGGUGAAAUGCGUAGAUAUAUGGAAGAACACCAGUGGCGAAGGCGGCUGUCUGGUCUGUAACUGACGCUGAGGCUCGAAAGUAUGGGUAGCAAACAGGAUUAGAUACCCUGGUAGUCCAUACCGUAAACGAUGAAUGCUAAGUGUUGGAGGGUUUCCGCCCUUCAGUGCUGCAGCUAACGCAUUAAGCAUUCCGCCUGGGGAGUACGGCCGCAAGGCUGAAACUCAAAGGAAUUGACGGGGGCCCGCACAAGCGGUGGAGCAUGUGGUUUAAUUCGAAGCUACGCGAAGAACCUUACCAGGUCUUGACAUACUAUGCAAAUCUAAGAGAUUAGACGUUCCCUUCGGGGACAUGGAUACAGGUGGUGCAUGGUUGUCGUCAGCUCGUGUCGUGAGAUGUUGGGUUAAGUCCCGCAACGAGCGCAACCCUUAUUAUCAGUUGCCAGCAUUAAGUUGGGCACUCUGGUGAGACUGCCGGUGACAAACCGGAGGAAGGUGGGGAUGACGUCAAAUCAUCAUGCCCCUUAUGACCUGGGCUACACACGUGCUACAAUGGAUGGUACAACGAGUUGCGAACUCGCGAGAGUAAGCUAAUCUCUUAAAGCCAUUCUCAGUUCGGAUUGUAGGCUGCAACUCGCCUACAUGAAGUCGGAAUCGCUAGUAAUCGCGGAUCAGCAUGCCGCGGUGAAUACGUUCCCGGGCCUUGUACACACCGCCCGUCACACCAUGAGAGUUUGUAACACCCAAAGUCGGUG